GACGAACGCUGGCGGCGUGCUUAACACAUGCAAGUCGAACGGAAAGGCCCUGCUUUUGUGGGGUGCUCGAGUGGCGAACGGGUGAGUAACACGUGAGUAACCUGCCCUUGACUUUGGGAUAACUUCAGGAAACUGGGGCUAAUAACGGAUAGGAGCUCCUGCUGCAUGGGGGGGGUUGGAAAGUUUCGGCGGUGGGGGAUGGACUCGCGGCUUAUCAGCUUGUUGGUGGGGUAGUGGCUUACCAAGGCUUUGACGGGUAGCCGGCCUGAGAGGGUGACCGGCCACAUUGGGACUGAGUUACGGCCAAGAUUCCAACGGGAGGCAGCAGUGGGGAAUAUUGCACAAGGGGCCGAAGCCUGAUGCAGCAACGCCGCGGGCGGGAUGACGGCCUUCGGGUGGUAAACCGCUUCCGCCGGUGACGAAGCGUUAGUGACGGUAAUGGGUAAAGAAGCACCGGCUAACUACGUG
This 468-nucleotide ribosomal RNA is filed under the name uncultured bacterium. Its description in RNAcentral is "partial 16S ribosomal RNA". It matches the Rfam family "Bacterial small subunit ribosomal RNA", at positions 28 to 507 of the family's 1533-position model. The record is from RNAcentral.